RNAcentral lists this ribosomal RNA (117 nucleotides) under Lepisosteus oculatus (spotted gar). The record is from RNAcentral. Lineage: Eukaryota; Metazoa; Chordata; Actinopteri; Semionotiformes; Lepisosteidae.
GCCAGCAGCCAUAUCACCCUGCUGCUCACAACUGGGAGCCCACUGAAGCUCAGCAGGUGUGAGCCUGGUCAGUACCUGGAUGGGAGACUCCUGGGAAAGCUGAGGCUGCUGCUGGAA